UACGUAGGCAGCAAGCGUUGUUCGGAGUUACUGGGCGUAAAGGGUGUGUAGGCGGUUGUUUAAGUUUGGUGUGAAAUCUCCCGGCUCAACUGGGAGGGUGCGCCGAAUACUGAAUGACUUCGAGUGCGGGAGAGGAGAGUGGAAUUCCUGGUGUAGCGGUGAAAUGCGUAGAUAUCAGGAGGAAUACCGAUGGCGAAGGCAGGUCUCUGGGCUGACACUGACGCUCAUGCACGAAAGCGUGGGGAGCAAACAGG
RNAcentral lists this ribosomal RNA (254 nucleotides) under uncultured bacterium. RNAcentral describes it as "partial 16S ribosomal RNA". It matches the Rfam family "Bacterial small subunit ribosomal RNA", at positions 524 to 776 of the family's 1533-position model. The record is from RNAcentral.